UAAAAGCUUCUUAAACAAAGCCAAGCGCAAUCAGAAUCAAGAUCAAGCAAGGUUGGAGCUCCCUCGAACGUAAUUUUUUAGAAUUUCCAUCUCUUCGAUUCUCCCGCAACUCUUCACUAUUCUUUGUGAUUGUUGGUUGGUUUAAGUCCUACCAAUAUAUGCAAGAAGAUUGAGUUGCUUUGAGGUCAAACCGAAGCAACUCAUGAUCCUCAAAAUUCAAAUCCUUGUAUCUUUU
RNAcentral lists this long non-coding RNA (235 nucleotides) under Lathyrus oleraceus (garden pea). RNAcentral's name for it is "Pisum sativum (pea) long non-coding RNA (PSAT_LNC005805)". Lineage: Eukaryota; Viridiplantae; Streptophyta; Magnoliopsida; Fabales; Fabaceae. The record is from RNAcentral.